RNAcentral lists this ribosomal RNA (588 nucleotides) under uncultured fungus. Its description in RNAcentral is "eukaryotic LSU rRNA". It matches the Rfam family "Eukaryotic large subunit ribosomal RNA", at positions 40 to 647 of the family's 3401-position model. Lineage: Eukaryota; Fungi. The record is from RNAcentral.
AUAUCAAUAAGCGGAGGAAAAGAAACCAACAGGGAUUGCCUCAGUAACGGCGAGUGAAGCGGCAACAGCUCAAAUUUGAAAUCUGGCCUCACGGUCCGAGUUGUAAUUUGUAGAGGACGUUUUGGGUACCGCCGUGGUUUAAAUUUCUUGGAACAGAAUGUCAAAGAGGGUGAGAGUCCCGUCUUGGACCGCGGUAGGGCCCAUGUGAAACUCCCUCGACGAGUCGAGUUGUUUGGGAAUGCAGCUCAAAAUGGGUGGUAAAUUUCAUCUAAAGCUAAAUAUUGGCCAGAGACCGAUAGCGCACAAGUAGAGUGAUCGAAAGAUGAAAAGCACUUUGAAAAGAGAGUUAAACAGUAUGUGAAAUUGUUGAAAGGGAAGCGCUGGCAACCAGACUUGCGUGCGGGGGUUCCCCCUGGCUUCUGCCUGGGCUACUCCCCCGUAUCCAGGCCAACAUCGGUUUGGGUGGUCGGUCAAAGGCCUUGGGAAUGUAUCUUCCUCCGGGAAGACUUAUAGCCCUCGGUGUCAUGCGGCCUACCCGGACCGAGGAACGCGCUUCGGCUCGGAUGUUGGCGUAAUGGUUGUCAGCGA